UAAAUUUCUACCAGGCAGGAAACAGCUAGAAACAAGGUUGAGUGUUCAGUCUUCCUUCCUGCAGGAAAGGUGAUUCCCUGGAUAAUUUCACAUUAGGCUUUAAGAGCUCCUUUCCUGUGGCAUUGUGGGGGUGGAAAAAGAAAAGCCAGUCUUUUAUCUUUAUGGAAAUCUCACUGUUCGGAUACAAAAGUCUGUAAUAGAGAAUUGUUCCGCCUCUUAAAGGAGAUCCGUGGGGAAAGACCUGGCUGGACAGCCUUUUACAUAGCCCCAGUGAAAACAAUGCAGGAAUCUGAAAAGGUCAUUAGGAAAAUAAAAACUUAAAGUCCUGAAAAGCUUUCUGACAAUUGUCCAAGGCCAUGCAGUCCUGAGGACACAGAGGACACCAGCCAUCCCUCAGCCACGACCCACGAGCCAACCCAAUCAGACCACAUCUUGUCUUUCAGGAAAAUGCACUGAAUUUUGUACCAUGCCCCCAAAAGCCUGGAUCAAAUUAAGAGUUUUAAUACUCAAAGUCAUUUAUAUUGUGUCUCUAAAGCAUAUACAAUAAAUGUACGCAUCACUCAGGAUAUAUUAAAA
Molecule: long non-coding RNA, 576 nt
Organism: Homo sapiens (human)
Lineage: Eukaryota; Metazoa; Chordata; Mammalia; Primates; Hominidae
Product: long intergenic non-protein coding RNA 1690
Source: Ensembl